AGAUGGAAGAACCUAACAGGAUGAUGUUUGGUUGGUGUAUAUCGGAUAGAUGUUACAAAAUGACGACAAUAGAGUGAGGAAACAGAAAACUAAUUUCUGUGAUUCCGGCAGUUUCUAUGACCUCUCAAUGUUCCUCGUUUUCAUAACUUCUCUUUCAGAUUUCUGAGCUUACUUUGUGUGUGUGUGUGUGUGUGUGUGUGUGAGAGAGAGAGAGAGAGAGAGAGAGAGAGAGAGAGAGAGGAUCAAAGGCGACAUGGCUGGAACAGUGUGUGUGACAGGAGCGACGGGGUUUGUGGCUUCGUGGUUGAUCAUGAGGCUCCUUGAACGUGGCUACUCCGUCCGAGCCACUAUCAGAUCUUCCACGGAUGGCAGAAAGAGAGACCUAAGCUUCCCGGAAAGCCUGCCCGGCGCACCAGAAAAACUCCAGAUAUUCACUGCCGAUCUCAACGACCCUGAGAGCUUCAGCGAAGCCAUUGAAGGAUGCACAGGUGUCUUCCAUGUUGCGACCCCUGUGGACUUUGAGGACAGGGAGCCCGAACAAGUCGUGACACAACGUGCCAUAGAUGGAACUCUUGGCAUCUUAAAGGCGAGCCUGAAGUCCAAAACUGGGAAGCGAGUAAUGUACACUUCGAGUCUAUAUGCUCUCUGCGUGAAUACCACGGGGGCUGCUAUGCUGGACGAGAGUUAUUGGAGUGAUGUGGAAUACAUUAGGGCCGUGAAGCUGAAUCGAGGGUCAUACAUGAUCUCAAAGACCUUGACAGAGAAGGCGGCUUUGGAGUUUGGAGAAUCGAACAGACUGGAUGUUGUCACGAUCAUUCCCCCUUUUGUCACUGGUCCGUUUGUGUGUGAUAAGCUCCCGGAUUCGGUUCGUAUUUCAAUGGCUAUGAUCUUUGGUAACCAAGAUGAUUAUCCCUACCUUGGUCACACAUGCAUAGUUCAUGUGGAUGACUUAGCCAGUGCACACAUCUUCCUCUUCGAGCACCCGUGCCCGAAGGGAAGGUACAUUUGCUCCUCGGACGUCAUCACACCUGAGAAGAUGUCAAAGUUUCUCACAGAGAAGUACCCUAAUCAAUUUCCCGUGGCAUGUCAACUCAAGCAAAUUAAAGAGUAUGAAGUGCCCAUCCUCUCGGCAGAUAAGCUCUUGGAUUCUGGUUUCGAAUUUAAGCACACCUUCGAGGAAACAUUUCAUGGAGCAAUCCAUUGCUGCAGACAGAAGGGAUAUCUAUAAUAAGAAGCUUAUAGCUAAGGAAAUGAUGCUACGCAGUCUUAAUGUUCCACCGUUACCGUCGGAGAACAUUUUUCUCUCAACUACAUUAGCCAUGGAAGACUGGUAGUGCAUAGCCUCCCCUCAGCAAGUGAAAGAACUGACCACUCUCUCCGUCGACCCCAGCUCCUUGUGGAACCCCGACUGCAAAACCAAAGAGGAGAAGUUCUCAUCUGCCAACAGCCCGAUGCAUCUUAUGACAUCAUGGAGCUUAGGAAAACCCAGUUGCAGCCAACCAACACUGACAGUGAAGCAACUCCUGGGCAUGGAAUCGCUUGAGGAAAUUUCUUGUACUUCCUCAACUACUUGCCCAAGUACCGAAUCAAGCUCGUCGACUCUUCUCCAUUCAAUUAACUGAUAACAAGCAGACAUUAGGACCGCUUCAUCGGCAUUAGGAGAUACAAGCAGAUAAUGCAGACAGAGCUCGGAAUCAUUGCCUGCUGCAUCACUAGCAGCAAGUGCAUCUCUAGGUGGGCUCAGAAAGCACUUCAAACUGCAGCACAGUUCCAUCGACACAAAAUCCGAGGCAUGUUUAAUACAGAGAACAAUCAACUUGGACCUCCUCUUGUUAAUGUGAUUCAAGACCGAAUUCAGGUAAAAUGAGCGCUCAACAAUACCGAAAACAGUAAGAUGAGACCAGCUCCCACAGCUCGAAAGCUAGACAGGUCUCAAGAACCAAUCCCGUCACGUCUUCAUCAUAAACCCCACAUUCUCCACCAACGCCCGGGUAUAUAACUGGAUCAUUGCAACCAAAUUAGAAACCUUAGUUGGCUCACACUUACUGAUGAUAAAACUUCAGAUUUCUAUGAUCAAAAAAUACCUUUUCUUAUAAAAAAUGAAUUCUGCUGCUCACAAUUCAAGAAAAGGUCAGUCCUUGAAGCUUCCUUGCCAAUGACUCUGCUUGAGACUACAGCAAAGGCUUCGGCCGAUCAAUGGGCAGAUGAUUUAGCUUCUGAAUUCCCGCCGAUCGUAUUGAACCCAAACUACAUUCUUCCCAGCCCCUGAAGUGGAAGUCCUAACCAUGUGUCACUCGCCAAUCCUGUCACGGGAUGGCGACUAUCGAAGGCCGACUCUGAAAUCAUCGAAACUAUUCAAAGGGUUCUCCAAGACCCUCAAGAGAAAGCUUAAGGACAACAGAUUCAAGUGAAAAGAAUUUCUCGGGAUUCUGAAUCCUUUCCUUUCCUUGAGAAAGUUAAAACAGUUGGUAUCGCGAUCAAGUACCCCAGAAAGACAAAAACAUGAAGAAUUCGUAUCUCCUGGCAGGGCAGGGCAAUUACAGAGAGAGAGAGAAGUGGCCAUGAGGCGGCAGUGGCGCAGGCGGAGGCGGCUGCAGAGGGCGGUGGACGGAGUGAACCCUAACACGACCAAGGCAGUAGCCGUAGGAACAGAGGAAGAAUUUGGCGCCUCACUGAUGAGUUCGCGGGCGUCGGAAGGAAAAUGAGCCGCCCGUCCAUUUCUUUAUUUUUAAUUUUUUGUUUAUUUCAAGGGAUUCAUUUCUUUUUCAGUUCUUUACUAUCUACAAAUUUCCAUAAUUACUUUUCAUUACGUUGAAAAGUGAUUUGAAGUUAAA
Non-coding RNA from Punica granatum (pomegranate), 2834 nucleotides. Lineage: Eukaryota; Viridiplantae; Streptophyta; Magnoliopsida; Myrtales; Lythraceae. The record is from RefSeq and is a predicted model, not a curated record.